RNAcentral lists this ribosomal RNA (1007 nucleotides) under uncultured bacterium. RNAcentral describes it as "bacterial SSU rRNA". It matches the Rfam family "Bacterial small subunit ribosomal RNA", at positions 26 to 1069 of the family's 1533-position model. The record is from RNAcentral.
UGGGGGACGGGCGGCUGCCUACACAUGCAGUCGAACGCCUGUAGCAAUACAGGAGUGGCGCACGGGUGAGUAACGCGUGGGAACCUGCCCUGGAGUGGGGGAUGACCGAGAGAAAUUUCGGCUAAUACCGCAUACGACCUGAGGGUGAAAGAUUUAUCGCUCUAGGAGGGGCCCGCGUCGGAUUAGCUAGUUGGUGGGGUAAUGGCCUACCAAGGCAACGAUCCGUAGCUGGUCUGAGAGGAUGAUCAGCCACACUGGGACUGAGACACGGCCCAGACUCCUACGGGAGGCAGCAGUGGGGAAUAUUGGACAAUGGGGGCAACCCUGAUCCAGCAAUGCCGCGUGAGUGAUGAAGGCCUUAGGGUUGUAAAGCUCUUUCGGCGGGGACGAUGAUGACGGUACCCGCAGAAGAAGCCCCGGCUAACUUCGUGCCAGCAGUCGCGGUAAUACGAAGGGGGCGAGCGUUGUUCGGAAUUACUGGGCGUAAAGGGUGCGCAGGCGGCUCUGAAAGUCAGAUGUGUAAGCCCCGGGCUUAACCUGGGAUUUGCAUUUGAUACUCUGGAGCUUGUGUACGGGAGAGGAGAGUGGAAUUCUCAGUGUAGAGGUGAAUUCGAGAUAUUGAUAAUUAACACCGGCGGCGAUCGCGGCUCUCUGUAUCGUUUCCUGUUCGCUUAGUUGCGUAAGCGUGGGGAGCAAACAGGAUCAGAUACCCUGGACAGACCAACGCCGUUUUUUUUUUUUUUUUUGACGUGAGGAACGCUCAGCCCUUUCGGCGUCUUAUCUUAUCGUGAUAAGCACAACCGUCUUGGUUAGUACGGUCGCAAGGUAAACUCUGAUGUAUUUGGUGGGGGGUUUGUCAUGCCGGGCGAGCAUGGUGGUCUAUUUCGACGCACGCGCAAUGAUCCUUACUUGCUAUGACUUGCCCCGGUUGGGGGUCGAAGAAAGCAGUCUCCUCAUGUUCCGGCUGGACUGGGUGGACCUAUUGUUUGCCAUGGACUUUCUUUCUG